Molecule: ribosomal RNA, 1553 nt
Filed under: Escherichia coli
Lineage: Bacteria; Pseudomonadati; Pseudomonadota; Gammaproteobacteria; Enterobacterales; Enterobacteriaceae
Description: bacterial SSU rRNA
Rfam family: Bacterial small subunit ribosomal RNA
Source: RNAcentral
AAAUUGAAGAGUUUGAUCAUGGCUCAGAUUGAACGCUGGCGGCAGGCCUAACACAUGCAAGUCGAACGGUAACAGGAAACAGCUUGCUGUUUCGCUGACGAGUGGCGGACGGGUGAGUAAUGUCUGGGAAACUGCCUGAUGGAGGGGGAUAACUACUGGAAACGGUAGCUAAUACCGCAUAACGUCGCAAGACCAAAGAGGGGGACCUUCGGGCCUCUUGCCAUCGGAUGUGCCCAGAUGGGAUUAGCUUGUUGGUGGGGUAAAGGCUCACCAAGGCGACGAUCCCUAGCUGGUCUGAGAGGAUGACCAGCCACACUGGAACUGAGACACGGUCCAGACUCCUACGGGAGGCAGCAGUGGGGAAUAUUGCACAAUGGGCGCAAGCCUGAUGCAGCCAUGCCGCGUGUAUGAAGAAGGCCUUCGGGUUGUAAAGUACUUUCAGCGGGGAGGAAGGGAGUAAAGUUAAUACCUUUGCUCAUUGACGUUACCCGCAGAAGAAGCACCGGCUAACUCCGUGCCAGCAGCCGCGGUAAUACGGAGGGUGCAAGCGUUAAUCGGAAUUACUGGGCGUAAAGCGCACGCAGGCGGUUUGUUAAGUCAGAUGUGAAAUCCCCGGGCUCAACCUGGGAACUGCAUCUGAUACUGGCAAGCUUGAGUCUCGUAGAGGGGGUAGAAUUCCAGGUGUAGCGGUGAAAUGCGUAGAGAUCUGGAGGAAUACCGGUGGCGAAGGCGGCCCCCUGGACGAAGACUGACGCUCAGGUGCGAAAGCGUGGGGAGCAAACAGGAUUAGAUACCCUGGUAGUCCACGCCGUAAACGAUGUCGACUUGGAGGUUGUGCCCUUGAGGCGUGGCUUCCGGAGCUAACGCGUUAAGUCGACCGCCUGGGGAGUACGGCCGCAAGGUUAAAACUCAAAUGAAUUGACGGGGGCCCGCACAAGCGGUGGAGCAUGUGGUUUAAUUCGAUGCAACGCGAAGAACCUUACCUGGUCUUGACAUCCACGGAAGUUUUCAGAGAUGAGAAUGUGCCUUCGGGAACCGUGAGACAGGUGCUGCAUGGCUGUCGUCAGCUCGUGUUGUGAAAUGUUGGGUUAAGUCCCGCAACGAGCGCAACCCUUAUCCUUUGUUGCCAGCGGUCCGGCCGGGAACUCAAAGGAGACUGCCAGUGAUAAACUGGAGGAAGGUGGGGAUGACGUCAAGUCAUCAUGGCCCUUACGACCAGGGCUACACACGUGCUACAAUGGCGCAUACAAAGAGAAGCGACCUCGCGAGAGCAAGCGGACCUCAUAAAGUGCGUCGUAGUCCGGAUUGGAGUCUGCAACUCGACUCCAUGAAGUCGGAAUCGCUAGUAAUCGUGGAUCAGAAUGCCACGGUGAAUACGUUCCCGGGCCUUGUACACACCGCCCGUCACACCAUGGGAGUGGGUUGCAAAAGAAGUAGGUAGCUUAACCUUCGGGAGGGCGCUUACCACUUUGUGAUUCAUGACUGGGGUGAAGUCGUAACAAGGUAACCGUAGGGGAACCUGCGGUUGGAUCACCUCCUUACCUUAAAGAAGC